AGUGAACGCCGGCGGUAGGCCUAACACAUGCAAGUCGAACGGCAGCACAGUAAGAGCUUGCUCUUACGGGUGGCGAGUGGCGGACGGGUGAGGAAUACAUCGGAAUCUACUUUUUCGUGGGGGAUAAAGUAGGGAAACUUACGCUAAUACCGCAUACGACCUACGGGUGAAAGCAGGGGAUCUUCGGACCUUGCGCGAUUGAAUGAGCCGAUGUCGGAUUAGCUAGUUGGCGGGGUAAAGGCCCACCAAGGCGACGAUCCGUAGCUGGUCUGAGAGGAUGAUCAGCCACACUGGAACUGAGACACGGUCCAGACUCCUACGGGAGGCAGCAGUGGGGAAUAUUGGACAAUGGGCGCAAGCCUGAUCCAGCCAUACCGCGUGGGUGAAGAAGGCCUUCGGGUUGUAAAGCCCUUUUGUUGGGAAAGAAAAGCAGCAGGUUAAUACCCCGCUGUUCUGACGGUACCCAAAGAAUAAGCACCGGCUAACUUCGUG
RNAcentral lists this ribosomal RNA (492 nucleotides) under uncultured bacterium. RNAcentral's name for it is "partial 16S ribosomal RNA". It matches the Rfam family "Bacterial small subunit ribosomal RNA", at positions 29 to 507 of the family's 1533-position model. The record is from RNAcentral.